This 1205-nucleotide ribosomal RNA is filed under the name uncultured bacterium. RNAcentral describes it as "partial 16S ribosomal RNA". It matches the Rfam family "Bacterial small subunit ribosomal RNA", at positions 32 to 1266 of the family's 1533-position model. The record is from RNAcentral.
AAGGAGGGCGGGUGCUACACAUGCAAGUCGAGCGGAGUUAUUGUAGCAAUACGAUAACUUAGCGGCAGACGGGUGAGUAACGCGUAAACAAUCUACCCUAUCGCUGGGGAUAAGCUACCGAAAGGGAGUGUAAUACCGAAUAAGUCACUGUGACGGAGGUUAUGGUGAUAAAAGUUACGGCGCGAUAGGAGGGGUUUGCGUCCCAUUAGCUAGUUGGUGGGGUAACGGCCUACCAAGGCGACGAUGGGUAGCUGGUCUGAGAGGAUGAUCAGCCACACUGGAACUGUGACACGGUCCAGACUCCUACGGGAGGCAGCAGUGAGGAAUAUUGCGCAAUGGUCGAAAGACUGACGCAGCGACGCCGUGUGUGGGAAGAAGGCUCUUGGGUUGUAAACCACUGUCAGUGGGGACGAAAAAAAUGACGGUACCCACAGAGGAAGCCCCGGCUAACUACGUGCCAGCAGCCGCGGUAAGACGUAGGGGGCGAGCGUUGUUCGGAAUUACUGGGCGUAAAGAGCUCGUAGGCGGGCUAAUAAGUCUUGCAACAAAGACUACGGCUUAACUGUAGGAAGUUGUGGGAUACUGUUAGUCUUGAGAACAGGAGAGGGGAGUGGAAUUCCUAGUGUAGCGGUGAAAUGCGUAGAUAUUAGGAGGAACACCAGUGGCGAAGGCGACUCUCUAGCCUGUUUCUGACGCUGAGGAGCGAAAGCCGGGGGAGCGAACGGGAUUAGAUACCCCGGUAGUCCCGGCUGUAAACGAUGGACACUAGGUGUAGGAGGUAUCGACCCCUUCUGUGCCGCAGUUAACACAUUAAGUGUCCCGCCUGGGGAGUACGGUCGCAAGACUAAAACUCAAAGGAAUUGACGGGGGCCCGCACAAGCGGUGGAGCAUGUGGUUUAAUUCGACGCAACGCGAAGAACCUUACCUGGACUUGACACCCCUUGACGGUCUAUGAAAGUAGAUUUCAAUUAUCGUUAAGAUGAUUGCAAGGAGACAGGUGCUGCAUGGCUGUCGUCAGCUCGUGUCGUGAGAUGUUGGGUUAAGUCCCGCACGAGCGCAACCCUUGUUCUAGUGCAUCAUAGUGGGUACUCUAAGAGACUGCGAUAAAGUCGAGAAGUGGAUGACGUCAAGUCAGCAUGCUACGUCAAGGCGACACACGUGCUAACAAUGGGUUCUACGAAGGGUAGCAAAACAGGCGAUGUUUG